Molecule: non-coding RNA, 348 nt
Organism: Pelobates cultripes (western spadefoot toad)
Lineage: Eukaryota; Metazoa; Chordata; Amphibia; Anura; Pelobatidae
Source: the annotation of a GenBank genome assembly
UUCAAAUACAUAUUAAGGUGUGGCUGUCUAAUGGGUUAAAAAGAACAGAUCGGGUUUGCUAUUCUGUACCAAGGAUUCUGGAAUGCGGUAUAUGGGGAAUUUCCUUAUAUGGCCAAGAGUCUAAACUAAACGUUGUGAUGUAAUUUUGGCUAUAACGGGCAGAGGACAUAGGAUCCGUUUUGCUCUCCUCUCUGAUGUCCUGAGUUGCUGAUAGAAAGACGACUCUCUGUAACGUCGUUAAGAAAUGCCAUCUGUUAAGUAUAUUAUUGUUUGCUGUUGAAGUAGAAUAAAAGCAUAUUUUUUAUAAAGAACAUCUGAUUGUGUAUUAAUACUUUUCAUUAAUAUAGA